CCUACGGGAGGCAGCAGUGGGGAAUAUUGGACAAUGGGCGAAAGCCUGAUCCAGCAACGCCGCGUGAGGGAUGACGGCCUUCGGGUUGUAAACCUCUUUCAGCAGGGACGAAGCGCAAGUGACGGUACCUGCAGAAGAAGCACCGGCCAACUACGUGCCAGCAGCCGCGGUAAUACGUAGGGUGCGAGCGUUGUCCGGAAUUAUUGGGCGUAAAGGGCUCGUAGGCGGUUUGUCGCGUCGGGAGUGAAAACUCAGGGCUUAACCCUGAGCCUGCUUCCGAUACGGGCAGACUAGAGGUAUGCAGGGGAGAACGGAAUUCCUGGUGUAGCGGUGAAAUGCGCAGAUAUCAGGAGGAACACCGGUGGCGAAGGCGGUUCUCUGGGCAUUACCUGACGCUGAGGAGCGAAAGUGUGGGGAGCGAACAGGAUUAGAUACCCUGGUAGUCCACACCGUAAACGUUGGGCGCUAGGUGUGGGACUCAUUCCACGAGUUCCGUGCCGCNGCUACGCAUAGCGCCCGCCGUCGGGAGGUACGGCCGCGACGGACGUAAACCGUAACGAAAGGAAGUAAGGUACGGCGUUGAGACGUUGCGAACGGACGACGACGAGGGAGGAGG
This 616-nucleotide ribosomal RNA is filed under the name uncultured bacterium. Its description in RNAcentral is "bacterial SSU rRNA". The stretch from base 1 to 521 matches the Rfam family "Bacterial small subunit ribosomal RNA", at positions 338 to 873 of the family's 1533-position model. The record is from RNAcentral.